AAAGGGAGACCUAAUUCAGGUAGGAGACGAAAAAAAAGUAGUCGCUACCAAGAAUCAAUCCCAAAAGGUCGGAGCGAGGCGAAAUUGGCUUUCAAACUAGGUUCUGGGUUCAAACAAGACCUGAAUCAGGAACAAGGGCUAUUAGCUCAGGUGGUUAGAGCGCACCCCUGAUAAGGGUGAGGUCCCUGGUUCGAGUCCAGGAUGGCCCACCUGCACAGGUGGCAAAAACAAGAGAAGCGAGGAAUCAGCACCUUAUCUUACUUAUAUAGCAAGAGAGAAUGCUGGCUCUGAGUAAAGAGUCCAGAGGAACCUUGAAAACUGCAUAGAGCUAGGUGAAAAAGCCAAAAAAGAAGACCGCAAG
This 361-nucleotide transfer RNA is filed under the name uncultured Microcystis sp. RNAcentral describes it as "partial 16S-23S ribosomal RNA intergenic spacer". The stretch from base 136 to 209 matches the Rfam family "tRNA". The record is from RNAcentral. Lineage: Bacteria; Bacillati; Cyanobacteriota; Cyanophyceae; Chroococcales; Microcystaceae.